RNAcentral lists this ribosomal RNA (1832 nucleotides) under wastewater metagenome. RNAcentral describes it as "bacterial LSU rRNA". It matches the Rfam family "Bacterial large subunit ribosomal RNA", at positions 1 to 1991 of the family's 2925-position model. The record is from RNAcentral.
UCAAGCGUUUAAGGGCGUCUGGUGAAUGCCUUGGCACUGAAAGUCGAUGAAGGACGUGAUAUACUGCGAUAAGUUUCGGGGAGUUGUAUGUAAACUUUGAUCCGAAAAUUUCCGAAUGGGAAAACCCAACUCUUUAAGAGUUAUUUCAAACUGAAUACAUAGGUUUGAAAAGGCAACCUAGGGAACUGAAACAUCUAAGUACCUAGAGGAAAAGAAAUCAAUUGAGAUUCCGUCAGUAGUGGCGAGCGAACGCGGAACAGGCCUGUAGUUUUAUUUGUACAACUAGAAAAACCUGGAAAGGUUUGCCAUAGAGGGUGAUAGCCCCGUAAAGGUAAAAGCAAAUAAGAUUCUUGAGUAAAGCGGGACACGAGAAAUCCUGCUUGAAGAUAGGGGGACCACCCUCUAAGCCUAAAUACUCUUCAGUGACCGAUAGUGAACUAGUACCGUGAGGGAAAGGUGAAAAGAACCCCUAUUAGGGGAGUGAAAUAGAACCUGAAACCGGAUGCCUACAAUCAGUCGGAGCUCUAUAUGAGUGACGACGUACCUUUUGUAUAAUGGGUCAGUGACUUUAUCUGUGCAGCAAGCUUAAGCCGAAAAGGUGUAGGCGUAGCGAAAGCGAGUCUGAAUAGGGCGAUGAGUUGUACGGAUAAGAACCCGAAACCUAGUGAUCUAGUUAUGAGCAGGUUGAAGGUAAGGUAACACUUACUGGAGGACCGAACCGGUGCCUGUUGAAAAAGGCUCGGAUGACUUGUGAUUAGGGGUGAAAGGCCAAUCAAACUGGGAGAUAGCUGGUUUUCCGCGAAAACUAUUUAGGUAGUGCGUUGAAUAAUAAGAUCUUGAGGGGUAGAGCACUAAAUAGGCUAGGGGGAAGAAAUUCUUACUAAACCUAAUAAAACUCCGAAUACUCAAGAUUGUUUCUCAAUAGACAGACGGUGGGAGCUAACUUCCAUCGUCGAGAGGGAAAAAACCCAGACCACCAUCUAAGGUCCCAAAAUCGUAGUUAAGUGUGAAAGGAUGUGAAGACUCCAAAACAGCCGGGAGGUUGGCUUAGAAGCAGCCAUCCUUUAAAGAAAGCGUAACAGCUCACCGGUCUAAUUAAGAGACUUUGCGCCGAAGAUGUAACGGGGCUCAAACUACGUACCGAAGUUGUGGAUUUAAAGUGUCUACGGACAUUUUAUCUGGUAGCGGAACGUUCUGUAAGUCUGCGAAGGGAUACCCGCGAGGGGUCCUGGAGAUAUCAGAAGUGCGAAUGCUGACAUAAGUAGCGACAAACAGAGUGAAAGACUCUGUCGCCGAAAAUACAAGGGUUCCUGCGUAAAGUUAAUCUUCGCAGGGUUAGUCGGCCCCUAAGGCGAGGGCGAAAGCCGUAGUCGAUGGGAACAAGGUAAAUAUUCCUUGACCUGAUGGUAGUGACGGAUCUCGUAUAUUGUAAGUUCUUAUUGGAUUGAACUUGCCUUGAAGAGGUCCCAGGAAAUAACUCCAUCAUUAAGACCGUACCCUAAACGGACACACGUGUAUUGGUAGAGAAUACCUAGGCGCUUGAGAGAAUGAUGUUGAAGGAACUCGGCAACUUGCCUCUGUAACUUCGGGAUAAAGAGGGCCUUAUUUUGCGCAAGCAGAGUAAGGUGGCACAAGCCAGGGAGUAGCGACUGUUUAACAAAAACACAGGACUCUGCUAACACGUAAGUGGAUGUAUAGGGUCUGACGCCUGCCCGGUGCCGGAAGGUUAAAGCAAGAUGUGCAAGCAUCGAACUGAAGCCCCGGUGAACGGCGGCCGUAACUAUAACGGUCCUAAGGUAGCGAAAUUCCUUGUCGGGUAAGUUCCGACCUGC